GACGAACGCUGGCGGCGUGCUUAACACAUGCAAGUCGAGCGGUAAGGCCCCUUCGGGGGUACACGAGCGGCGAACGGGUGAGUAACACGUGAGCAAUCUGCCCAUCACAUCGGGAUAACUCCGGGAAACCGAAGCUAAUACCGAAUACGACCACCUCCGGCAUCGGAUGGUGGUGGAAAGUUCCGGCGGUGAUGGAUGAGCUCGCGGCCUAUCAGCUUGUUGGUGGGGUAACGGCCCACCAAGGCUUCGACGGGUAGCCGGCCUGAGAGGGUGACCGGCCACACUGGGACUGAGACACGGCCCAGACUCCUACGGGAGGCAGCAGUGGGGAAUAUUGGACAAUGGGCGAAAGCCUGAUCCAGCAACGCCGCGUGAGGGAUGACGGCCUUCGGGUUGUAAACCUCUUUCAGCAGGGACGAAGCGCAAGUGGCGGUACCUGCAGAAGAAGCACCGGCCAACUACGUG
This 465-nucleotide ribosomal RNA is filed under the name uncultured bacterium. RNAcentral's name for it is "partial 16S ribosomal RNA". It matches the Rfam family "Bacterial small subunit ribosomal RNA", at positions 28 to 507 of the family's 1533-position model. The record is from RNAcentral.